RNAcentral lists this Y RNA (96 nucleotides) under Microcebus murinus (gray mouse lemur). RNAcentral's name for it is "Y RNA (ENSMICG00000045200.1)". It matches the Rfam family "Y RNA". Rfam says of the family: Y RNAs are components of the Ro ribonucleoprotein particle (Ro RNP), in association with Ro60 and La proteins. Lineage: Eukaryota; Metazoa; Chordata; Mammalia; Primates; Cheirogaleidae. The record is from Rfam by way of RNAcentral.
GGCUGGUCCAAUGAUAGUGGGUUAUCAGAACGUAUAAACAUUAGUGCCACUAAAGUUGGUACACAGCACCCCACUGCUAAAUAUGACUGGCUUAAA